Molecule: ribosomal RNA, 330 nt
Filed under: uncultured eukaryote
Lineage: Eukaryota
Description: partial 18S ribosomal RNA
Rfam family: Eukaryotic small subunit ribosomal RNA
Source: RNAcentral
CCCCUUAGAUGUCCUGGGCCGCACGCGCGCUACACUGACAGAGCCAACGAGUUUAUCACCUUGACCGAUAGGCCUGGGUAAUCUUGUUAAACUCUGUCGUGCUGGGGAUAGAGCAUUGCAAUUAUUGCUCUUCAACGAGGAAUGCCUAGUAAGCGCGUGUCAUCAGCAUGCGUUGAUUACGUCCCUGCCCUUUGUACACACCGCCCGUCGCUACUACCGAUUGAAUGGCUUAGUGAGGCCUUCGGACUGGCUCAGGGAGGUCGGCAACGACCACCCAGAGCCGGAAAGUUCGUCAAACUACGUCAUUUAGAGGAAGUAAAAGUCGUAACA